CAAACCACCAAACUCUUUUUUCCUACAAACCAGGCUCCAAUGUUCUAACGUGUGUUCUUCUUCUUGACACGAAUGCUCUGGAUGGCCUUGCUGUGCUCGUCUCGUCUCGCGAUCCGCUCCUCUCCGUUGCUCGGGGCGGCGCGCUAAUGGAGGAAAAGCGCGCACAACCAUCGUAAGCUGCCUCUCCGUAGUUUGCCUUCCUCUCCCCUCCAACCGAGAACAGUAGGCGCAAGGCUCCCUUCUCUUCCUGCUCGACUGUCUGCUCGGAGCACUCACCGACGGCCUUCCGCGCGGCGACCGGAGCCUCCGCACCUGCGGCGCAGACCACCUGUUCGACGGAAUGGCUGAAAUGGUCGACGCCCAUAAAGUGGCUCUGAACUGCGGCAGGGACCGCUUCGAGGACCACCCGGAACCUGUGCUCGAGCUGGUGCUGUCAUUCCUGCCCUCGCGAGAUUCCAUGAGGACAUCCGUGCUCUCACCGCUGGUGCACCCUCUGGAAGUCCGUGCCCGCCCUGCGCUUCAAACCUUCUCAGUUCGGGAGUGCCCAGGCCUUCAGCGAUUUCGUUAACAAGCUGCUUGAGCACCGUGACAGAACAUCGCCUCUUCGUGGAUGUGAUAUCACCUCCUAUCCGGAUGGCAAAGAUGUUGAGGUACUCUGUGAUGUUCAAUCAUGGGUAUAGUAUGCCGUCUCUUGUCAAGUGCCGGUGUUUCGAGUUAAAUCAUCGGGUCCUCUUUAUUCUUGUUUUAAGCUAUCCAACAACAGUUUCAUCUCCAAGCACUUAACAAGGUUAGAGCUUUGCCAUGUGGCGUUUGGCGAAAGCCCUCUAGAUCUGUUGGGCAGUCAGGCACUAGAGGUGCUAGACAUAGAUGAUUAUUCUAUCAACCUUGGGGAUAUCUUACCCAAAUCUCUACGACAUCUGAAAAUCAGAGAUUCAAGUCUUUCUGCUACUGAUAGACCACGGAAUUGUCUUUCUGCUCCGGGUCUUGUUACCUUUGAACUAGCCGAUUGUUUCAGGUGGACGCCGUUACUUGAGAGCCUGCCAUUAUUGGUAACAUCAUUUAUCAGGAUUUCUUAUUGCACAGAUGCGUGUUCUAAUUAUAUGUACCUUGGGGAUUGUGGGAAGGAUUCAUGUGAUGGAUGCUAUGCUGAAGAUGAUUGCUGUGUCCUUGAAGGUUUGUCGGGCGCUAUGAAUUUAGAGCUGUUGAAUGAAUGGUCUUUGGUUAGUUGAAAUCUAUUGUUGCAAAGAAGAUGGAAGGAUUUCUCUAAUUUCAAGGAUCCUUGGUACUCAUGGAGUAACUCCUUCGCAAAUUAACAUCAAUCAUGAUUUUAGGUUUUGUUGCGCCUUCAGUUUCGAGUAGCCGGAGUAGAUCGGAUGGUACUAUUCCUGGUUAUGCAGACUUUCAUGUCUCUGGUUUUAUCUUCGCGGCAUUAGGUUGCUGCAUUUUGCUUAUCCGUGUGCACCUGUACCUGUUCCAUUCAUAUGAAGUACGAACUCCUGUCGAGAUACAAUAUUGUACUAUUGCCCAUUUGCUGAACUCGUUGUCAAGCCUCAACUAGUUUACAUUUUGAAGCCUAUGAUCUAUUUUUGUUUCAGCAACGUGUAUCUAGUUGAACUUAUGUAUUAUGGUACCCGUUCUGUUAUAUAUGGUUUGGUCGGUUGCAUGA
Long non-coding RNA from Hordeum vulgare subsp. vulgare (domesticated barley), 1666 nucleotides. RefSeq lists it as uncharacterized. Lineage: Eukaryota; Viridiplantae; Streptophyta; Magnoliopsida; Poales; Poaceae. The transcript has 4 exons. The record is from RefSeq and is a predicted model, not a curated record.